Molecule: long non-coding RNA, 357 nt
Filed under: Lathyrus oleraceus (garden pea)
Lineage: Eukaryota; Viridiplantae; Streptophyta; Magnoliopsida; Fabales; Fabaceae
Description: Pisum sativum (pea) long non-coding RNA (PSAT_LNC006566)
Source: RNAcentral
AAAUCUCAAAUAAAUCUCAAAUCAAUUAAUAAAUUGAUGAGAAUAUUUUUCAUCGGUCUAUCAUCAUUCAAAGAGGUUGAUAAAAUAUUUUUGUAUUUUUUUGAUCUCAAAAACUAUUUAAAAUGAAUUAAAAAUAACCAGAAAAGAAAAAAUUCAUGAAAAAUAUCAAAUGAUAAAAUAAAUAAUAUUAAAAACUAUUUUUAGAAACUAGAAAUUAAAAGAGAAAUAAUGCAAUUGGUCCCAUAAUUUUUGGACCAAUAAUGAAAGAGAUAUGAAUUUUAGAAUUAAAAUGGAAUUAAAAGAAAUAAAAGAAAAUAGAAAUCAGAAAUUAAAAAUAAGAAAAAAAGAGAGGCGUUG